This 305-nucleotide ribosomal RNA is filed under the name uncultured bacterium. Its description in RNAcentral is "bacterial SSU rRNA". It matches the Rfam family "Bacterial small subunit ribosomal RNA", at positions 28 to 322 of the family's 1533-position model. The record is from RNAcentral.
GAUGAACGCUAGCUACAGGCUUAACACAUGCAAGUCGAGGGGCAGCAUGUCGGUUGCUUGCAACCGAUGAUGGCGACCGGCGCACGGGUGAGUAACGCGUAUCCAACCUACCCUUGUCCAUCGGAUAACCCGUCGAAAGGCGGCCUAACACGAUAUGCGGUUCUCAGCAGGCAUCUAACGAGAACGAAAUGUGAAGGAGAAGGAUGGGGAUGCGUCUGAUUAGCUUGUUGGCGGGGUAACAGCCCACCAAGGCGACGAUCAGUAGCCGUCUGAGAGGAGUGAACGGACCGACCAAUUGGGUACGU